CCCUUAGAUGUUCUGGGCCGCACGCGCGCUACACUGAUGCAUUCAACGAGUUUCUUCCUGGUCCGAGAGGAAUGGGUAACCUUUUGAAAGUGCAUCGUGAUAGGGAUAGACUAUUGCAAUUAUUGGUCUUCAACGCGGAAUUCCUAGUAGACGUAGUUCAUCAGACUGCAUCGAUUACGUCCCUGCCCUUUGUACACACCGCCCGUCGCUCCUACCGAUUGAAUGCUCAGGUGAGCCAUUCGGACUUUCAUCAUGCUGGUUUCCAGUUUUGAUGAAGGAAAGUCUUGCGAACCUUAUCAUUUAGAGGAAGGAGAAGUCGUAACA
This 324-nucleotide ribosomal RNA is filed under the name uncultured eukaryote. RNAcentral describes it as "partial 18S ribosomal RNA". It matches the Rfam family "Eukaryotic small subunit ribosomal RNA", at positions 1470 to 1796 of the family's 1831-position model. The record is from RNAcentral.